RNAcentral lists this transfer RNA (73 nucleotides) under Streptohalobacillus salinus. RNAcentral describes it as "Halolactibacillus sp. H96B60 tRNA". It matches the Rfam family "tRNA". From Rfam's summary of the family: Transfer RNA (tRNA) molecules are approximately 80 nucleotides in length. Their secondary structure includes four short double-helical elements and three loops (D, anti-codon, and T loops). The record is from Rfam by way of RNAcentral. Lineage: Bacteria; Bacillati; Bacillota; Bacilli; Caryophanales; Bacillaceae. RNAcentral also lists the same sequence under 1 other name.
GGCUUGGUAGCUCAGUCGGUAGAGCAACGGAUUGAAGCUCCGUGUGUCGGCGGUUCGAUUCCGUCUCAAGCCA